RNAcentral lists this ribosomal RNA (440 nucleotides) under uncultured bacterium. Its description in RNAcentral is "bacterial SSU rRNA". It matches the Rfam family "Bacterial small subunit ribosomal RNA", at positions 338 to 795 of the family's 1533-position model. The record is from RNAcentral.
CCUACGGGGUGCAGCAGUGGGGAAUAUUGGACAAUGGGCGCAAGCCUGAUCCAGCCAUGCCGCGUGAGUGAUGAAGGCCUUAGGGUUGUAAAGCUCUUUCACCGAUGAAGAUAAUGACGGUAGUCGGAGAAGAAGCCCCGGCUAACUUCGUGCCAGCAGCCGCGGUAAUACGAAGGGGGCUAGCGUUGUUCGGAUUUACUGGGCGUAAAGCGCACGUAGGCGGAUUGGUCAGUUAGAGGUGAAAUCCCGAAGCUCAACUUCGGAACUGCCUUUAAUACUGCCAGUCUCGAGUCCGGAAGAGGUAAGUGGAACUCCUAGUGUAGAGGUGGAAUUCGUAGAUAUUAGGAAGAGCACCAGUGGCGAAGGCGGCUUACUGGUCCGGAGCUGACGCUGAGGUGCGAAAGCGUGGGGAGCAAACAGGAUUAGAUACCCGAGUAGUC